RNAcentral lists this unclassified non-coding RNA (485 nucleotides) under Chiococca coriacea. Its description in RNAcentral is "partial external transcribed spacer". Lineage: Eukaryota; Viridiplantae; Streptophyta; Magnoliopsida; Gentianales; Rubiaceae. The record is from RNAcentral.
UUCUUGUAUGGGUUGGUUGGAUCCSUGCUUGGGCAGCGACAUCCCCCKUGCAAGCCUCUUCAAUUUUCGGCCCAAGAACAAGUUAGCCUUGGCCGUUUGUCGGUUUCCUGUGUUGUAUACCUACUAUAAUGGAAUUCGAAUGUGCAAUAUUUUGUUAUUCGCCUUGUGCUGUCCCAUCGGUUGUCCCUUUGGGGUGCGGUGUCGGGUGAACCUCGAAGCGAUCUUCAUGUUCUUCGUCACCCACGAAAUGUGUUGUCGGCGCGGCCCAUGAAGAUUUCUUGAGCUCUCGGAUGCGGAAUAUGCAGAGGGCAGUAGGCCUACGGCCUCUCUUUGCCCGAAUUAAGCGUUUAUUCGCUCAUUACCGAAUGACGGCCGGCGGUGCCUUGAUGUGUUGGAGCCCUCGGGUUUCGGCAUCAUCAUGCAUAGCCGGCGUCACUAAGGAAUGCUACCUGGUUGAUCCUGCCAGUAGUCAUAUGCCUUGUCUC